RNAcentral lists this transfer RNA (77 nucleotides) under Candidatus Magnetomorum sp. HK-1. RNAcentral's name for it is "tRNA-Met". It matches the Rfam family "tRNA". Rfam says of the family: Transfer RNA (tRNA) molecules are approximately 80 nucleotides in length. The record is from RNAcentral. Lineage: Bacteria; Pseudomonadati; Thermodesulfobacteriota; Desulfobacteria; Desulfobacterales; Candidatus Magnetomoraceae.
GGGCCUAUAGCUCAGUUUGGCAGAGCCACCGGCUCAUAACCGGUAGGUCCCUGGUUCGAUUCCAGGUGGGCCCAUCA